RNAcentral lists this ribosomal RNA (237 nucleotides) under uncultured Lactobacillus sp. RNAcentral's name for it is "partial 16S ribosomal RNA". It matches the Rfam family "Bacterial small subunit ribosomal RNA", at positions 125 to 356 of the family's 1533-position model. Lineage: Bacteria; Bacillati; Bacillota; Bacilli; Lactobacillales; Lactobacillaceae. The record is from RNAcentral.
CCGUGCCAAGAGAUCGGGAUAACACCUGGAAACAGAUGCUAAUACCGGAUAACAACAGAUGAUGCCUAUCAACUGUUUAAAAGAUGGUUCUGCUAUCACUCUUGGAUGGACCUGCGGUGCAUUAGCUAGUUGGUAGGGUAACGGCCUACCAAGGCGAUGAUGCAUAGCCGAGUUGAGAGACUGAUCGGCCACAUUGGGACUGAGACACGGCCCAAACUCCUACGGGAGGCAGCAGNG